UAAUAGGCAUUACCGGCUUAUGGUGUGGCA
This 30-nucleotide non-coding RNA is filed under the name Rattus norvegicus (Norway rat). Lineage: Eukaryota; Metazoa; Chordata; Mammalia; Rodentia; Muridae. The record is from RNAcentral.